RNAcentral lists this ribosomal RNA (117 nucleotides) under Larimichthys crocea (large yellow croaker). Lineage: Eukaryota; Metazoa; Chordata; Actinopteri; Sciaenidae. The record is from RNAcentral.
GCUUACGGCCAUACUACCCUUGACUGUCCCGAUCUAUCUCAUUUCUGAAGCUAAGCAGGGUCAGGCCUGGUUAGUACUUGGAUGGGAGACCGCCUGGGAAUACCAGGUGCUGAAGCU